GCAGGGGUGCCGGAGCGGUCAAAUGGCUUUUCUUAGAAAGAAAAUCUAGGAAAAGAGAGACCAGACGGGACAGCCUCAAAAGCUGUUGGCUCAGUGCCUACCAAGGUUCAAAUCCUUGCCCCUGCA
This 126-nucleotide transfer RNA is filed under the name Candidatus Woesearchaeota archaeon. Its description in RNAcentral is "tRNA-Leu". It matches the Rfam family "tRNA". Rfam says of the family: Transfer RNA (tRNA) molecules are approximately 80 nucleotides in length. Their secondary structure includes four short double-helical elements and three loops (D, anti-codon, and T loops). The record is from RNAcentral. Lineage: Archaea; Nanobdellati; Candidatus Woesearchaeota.